RNAcentral lists this transfer RNA (69 nucleotides) under Torpedo marmorata (marbled electric ray). Its description in RNAcentral is "tRNA-Phe". It matches the Rfam family "tRNA". Rfam says of the family: Transfer RNA (tRNA) molecules are approximately 80 nucleotides in length. Their secondary structure includes four short double-helical elements and three loops (D, anti-codon, and T loops). Lineage: Eukaryota; Metazoa; Chordata; Chondrichthyes; Torpediniformes; Torpedinidae. The record is from RNAcentral.
GCUAGUGUAGCUUAAUGCAAAGCGUGGCACUGAAGAUGCUAACAUAAAACUUAAAACUUUUCACAAGCA